UGGGGAAUAUUGCACAAUGGAGGGAACUCUGAUGCAGCGACGCCGCGUGAACGAAGAAGGCUUUCGAGUCGUAAAGUUCUUUUAUAUGGGAAGAUAAUGACGGUACCAUAAGAAGAAGCCCCGGCUAACUACGUGCCAGCAGCCGCGGUAAUACGUAGGGGGCUAGCGUUGUCCGGAAUCACUGGGCGUAAAGGGUUCGCAGGCGGAAAUGCAAGUCAGGUGUAAAAGGCAGUAGCUUAACUACUGUAAGCAUUUGAAACUGCAUAUCUUGAGAAGAGUAGAGGUAAGUGGAAUUUUUAGUGUAGCGGUGAAAUGCGUAGAUAUUAAAAAGAAUACCGGUGGCGAAGGCGACUUACUGGGCUCAUUCUGACGCUGAGGAACGAAAGAGUGGGUAGCAAACAGG
Molecule: ribosomal RNA, 403 nt
Filed under: bacterium
Lineage: Bacteria
Description: partial 16S ribosomal RNA
Rfam family: Bacterial small subunit ribosomal RNA
Source: RNAcentral